This 74-nucleotide transfer RNA is filed under the name Gammaproteobacteria bacterium. Its description in RNAcentral is "tRNA-Gln". It matches the Rfam family "tRNA". From Rfam's summary of the family: Transfer RNA (tRNA) molecules are approximately 80 nucleotides in length. The record is from RNAcentral. Lineage: Bacteria; Pseudomonadati; Pseudomonadota; Gammaproteobacteria.
UCGGGGAUCGUCCAACGGCAAGACGCCAGCUUUUGGAGCUGGUCAUCGGGGUUCGAAUCCCUGUCCCCGAGCCC